CCCGCCUUCUUGCUGCGUCACAUCCUCUUUCCGUGCUCUUCUCGCUUUGAGAAUCUCACCCCACGAUGAGAGCCAAGUGGAGGAAGAAGCGUAUGCGCAGGCUGAAGCGUAAAAGGAGAAAGAUGAGGCAGAGGUCCAAGUAAGCCGUCUCUCCUUUCCUGGCUGCAAGUUCGUCUGUCCCAGAGACUGUGGUGAGGAGGACCCAGUGGAGACCUGAGGAGCUGCUGUUCUCUCAGAAAACCCUGUGCCCCCGCUCUGACUGUGGAACCUCUGGAAGAUAAACACUUUAACAUCAGACUACAGCUGGACUCUUGUCAUGGACCAUAAAAUUAUUGCUCUGUCAACGUGUGUUUUGAACAAUAAAUGGAACAUGUUCUUAAAGUUUACAAA
This is a long non-coding RNA of Periophthalmus magnuspinnatus, 390 nucleotides long. RefSeq lists it as uncharacterized. The transcript is spliced from 4 exons. The record is from RefSeq and is a predicted model, not a curated record. Lineage: Eukaryota; Metazoa; Chordata; Actinopteri; Gobiiformes; Gobiidae.